CCUACGGGUGGCUGCAGUCGAGAAUCAUUCACAAUGGGGGAAACCCUGAUGGUGCGACGCCGCGUGGGGGAAUGAAGGUCUUCGGAUUGUAAACCCCUGUCAUGUGGGAGCAAAUUAAAAAGAUAGUACCACAAGAGGAAGAGACGGCUAACUCUGUGCCAGCAGCCGCGGUAAUAAAGAGGUCUCAAGCGUUGUUGGGAAUAACUGGGCGUAAGCGUGGGUAGGCGGUUUCGUAAGUCAGGUGCGAAAGGGGCGGGCUCAACCCGCGGACGGCACAUGAUACUGCGAGACUAGAGUAAUGGAGGGGGGACCGGAAGUCUCGGUGUAGCAGUGAAAUGCGUAGAUAGCGAGAGGAACACUCGUGGCGAAGGCGGGUUCCUGGACAUUAACUGACGCUGAGGCACGAAGGCCAGGGGAGCGAAAGGGAUUAGAUACCCUUGUAGUC
RNAcentral lists this ribosomal RNA (445 nucleotides) under uncultured bacterium. RNAcentral describes it as "partial 16S ribosomal RNA". It matches the Rfam family "Bacterial small subunit ribosomal RNA", at positions 338 to 795 of the family's 1533-position model. The record is from RNAcentral.